This 1153-nucleotide unclassified non-coding RNA is filed under the name Bombus terrestris (buff-tailed bumblebee). RNAcentral describes it as "misc RNA ENSBTSG00005022289.1". The record is from RNAcentral. Lineage: Eukaryota; Metazoa; Arthropoda; Insecta; Hymenoptera; Apidae.
GAUAGCUACUACUACCAAAGGCCCGUAAUAAUCGCCCUCGUGAAGGGGCAACGAUGCAAGUUUCCCUGCUGAAAAAUCGGAACGUUCCGUUUUACGUUAGAAUCGCUGUUAUUUCCAGUGUUAUUUAAUUUUUUAAUUAUACGUGUACCUUGUUGCGAUACCGUGGCCGGCAAAAGUACACCGGGUUUAGUGACGAAAUCUUGCACGUUGCUCUUUUUUAUUCUUCCGUUUGUCAGGUAAACUUCGAGCCACAAACGAUACCUGGUACCCGGUUUAAGAUCGCUGAUCACCGUUUUCGGAUGCAAGUCGCUCUUGGCAAUCUUGAACGUGCUUGUGUCUUCUUUGCCACUGUCACUUUGAUAAAUCGCUCGAUAAAUAUUCACGUAUUUGUCUUCCGGGUAAGGUACUCCGGUCCAAGUUACUUCCACACCUGUCGACUUGAUCGUCUUGAUCUCCACUUUCACGUCGAACGAGUAUGGAUUCGGCUCCAUCGAGCUCUGUCAAUUGUCCUGGGAAUGGAACGAAGAGGAUUCCGAUCUCGUAGGCGGUCGAUGGCCGAAGAUUCUCGAUCACGUAAUUCCUCACCGCUCUGUGGAUCAACGGUGUUCCGGCGUAAACCUUGGCGUCGUUCUCUUUGUAUCUCAACUGAACGCCGUCGAUAAAUUGUGACUCGUAUUCCGUGAAUUUCCUCCACAUCACGUUGAUCCACGUGGAAUUUGUCUCUGUGACAUGGAGCUCAGCGUCGAUCGGUAUUUGAGGCGGCAGCGUGGUCGCUUCCGCACGUUUCUCCAGCGUUUUCACGCUGUAGAUUUUGCUGGUGGAACUGUUGGCCAAAUCCUUCAGCUUCACCGUGAUCUUCACUUUGUACUCGGUAGAAGGCUUCAAAUCGCCCAGCUCGAACUCGAGCUGCGGAGUUGCGAUCAGGUCGUUUGGUGGCGUAAAUACUUGCGACUUCCAGCUCGACGCGUCCAUGAAGUCCAACUAGAACCUGCGGCACCGUGAAAACGAGCCGAACGGUGUUCUCGUCGAGAGCCUCGAGGAUCUGCACGGUGACCUCGUCCAAGGAGGAAGCAACAGGGUAUCCAGGAAUGGCACCAGGCAAUGGAAAGCCCGCUGGCACGUUGUGCUCCAUACCUGGAUUUCACGAACAAAG